CGGAGAGCGUUCGUUGUGUUCCUUUUCCAAUGCGCCCGUUUACGCUAGCUAAGGGUGCGGCGCCACGCCAACUCUUGGCUGUGGCGAUCGCAGCCGCGCGCAUGUCGGUGUCAUCGAGCACGCCUGCCGAACCCUCCACUCCAGCCGGUGCGUCGCAAGCUACAGCAGCGACGGGGCCGACCGUGGCGCCAAAGAAGCCACGCCGUCGUAUCGCGAGCAAGCUCGACGCCUCCGCCCUGCUUAAGAAUGUGCCGAGCGAACCCGGUGCUCACGCGGAGCUGUCGACGGCGGAGCUGGAGCGCAAGGUUGAGGAGAUGUCUCGCAUGAAUUCGAAGCAAUUGGAGGAGGUAAUGCGCAAGUUCGAGGAGCAAGAGAACGAGAGCAGCCGUGUGCUCAGCGAGGACUCGCUUUAUCAAAUGGAGGUCUCCCUGAAGCCGCGUAGCUCUGGCGCUGUGCGGGUCUUCUGGAAAGACGUUGACGUGGUGGAGCUCGAAGGCCGCUACAUUGGAUGGUUCGCGGUGACGGUGGACGGCCGCAAAGUAAAGGCUAUGAAGUCUUCGCAGGUUUUGGCGGUUCCAAGCGAGGCCAUGGCGUGCUGCUGCGCUCAGGAGUACGCUGAGCAGACUGGGUACAUCAAUCAGCUUCUCAUGCCCAUGUCGGACAUCUGCAGCGGUGCCCUGCACAUCGCUCCGCAGAUGCUGACCCCGCGCAUCGACUACCUCCUCUCCUUCUUUCAAAACGACAACUUGUACUUCCGCGCCGCCCCGAUCGCCGCGAAGCAGGACGCCAUGAUCGCCCCCAUUAUUGCCUGGUUCGAGCGCGUGUACGAGAUGGACGUGCCCCGUGUGGUGGGCAUCGGCGACCCGCACAUCACGCCGCACGCGACGGCCAAAAUGCGCGACGCGCUCAUCGCCAUGAAUAUGAACCCGUAUCAGGUACUCGCCAUGUGCGUCACGGCGCAGUUCACGAGCAGCUUGCUGUUGCCGUUGGCGCUGUUCAGCGGCGUGGUGGAUCUCCCGACAGCGCUGGCGAUCAACCGGGCUGAGGAACAACACAGCAUCUCGGAGGCGGGACUGGUGGCGGGCUACCACGACAUUCGCGAGGCGGAUGCCGUGACGAAGAUCUGUGCGUGUGCAAUGACGUGGAAACUAAUGAAGGAUGUGCCGCUGGCAAAGUGCCUCGAGAUGCCGCGGGCCGCCUCGGCCGUGGAGGAGGCAGAGGCGAUUUAGGCACGAUUCGGCGAAGUGCACGCCUUCCUCGAUGCAGCCAUCUUUCACGCCAUGCCGUGCACGGCUCCCCAGCCUCCUCUUCCGACUUCCAGUCACCUCGCGGGCGUGGCCCUCUGCCCUGUGCCCUCCCUGUCUCACUCACGCCUCACAAUUUUCCAGCGCUCCCUCUCUCACGUGAGCUGCUCUUGUCGCUGUCUUUGCUGUUGCUGUUCACAGUUGGUGGAAGGUUGUUAACAUUAACGAAAGGGGCGCUCUGUGCUUGCGUGUCUGUGCCGUGAUGGUAGCGGUGAGGCCCAACGACAUGUCGGCGCGCACACGGGAGGCGCCGUCCCACGGGAAGACAUCUACUGUGCAACGGAUGGGGUGCGCAUUCCCUCACGCCAUGUGUCUGCUGAUGUGCACCGAUCCUGCCGUGGGAUGGAGCCCUCCGCGCCAUCGCUGCCCCGUUAUUUCCUGUGGCUGUUUUCUCGUUGGGUGGUAUGCAUAAUGUGAAGCACGCGUGCUGCCCCGCCCCACCCAACCGAACAAUGGAAAGAUGCCAAGGGCCGGUGCAGGGCGUGCACACAGGAUGAGGGAGAACUGCAUGUGGCGGAGCCACCGCGGCGGUCCAACCGCUCUAUCUCUCUGCUGUUGCUUCUCUCUUGCCUCCCCGUCCCUAUUUUUUCUUUUUGCCUUAUUCACACCAGAGGUUCUGGUCGUUUCGCGCGAGUGUCGGGGGAGGGCUGGGGCUUGAGGCCCCACCCGCAUCGAUGUCCCUACUUCCGUUUUGCUGAGGACGUGUCGUUCUCGCUGCCGCCGGGUUUCAGUCGACGUAAACCUCUUGCAUGCCUUUAUUGCUUCUCAUUCUCGUCUUUCUUUCUGCUGUGCGUGGGGGCAAG
This 2107-nucleotide unclassified non-coding RNA is filed under the name Leishmania donovani. RNAcentral describes it as "gene:LdHU3.18.0430(CDS-product:ATP12_chaperone_pr otein_putative)". The record is from RNAcentral. Lineage: Eukaryota; Euglenozoa; Kinetoplastea; Trypanosomatida; Trypanosomatidae.